Molecule: small RNA, 307 nt
Filed under: Marmota monax (woodchuck)
Lineage: Eukaryota; Metazoa; Chordata; Mammalia; Rodentia; Sciuridae
Source: RNAcentral
GCUGGGCAUGGUGGUGUGCACCUGUAAUCCCAGUAACUCAGGAGGCUGAGGCCGGAGGAUCAUGAGUUCAAAGCCAGCCUCAGCAAGAGUGAGGCACUAAGCAACUCAGGGAGACCCAGUCUCUAAAUAAAAUACAAAAUAGAGCUGGGGAUUUGGCUCAGUGGUCGUGUGGCCCUGAGUUCAAUCCCUAGGACAAAAAAAGAAAAAAAAAAAAGCAGGGGAGGAGCAAUCUCACUGAGUUGCUUAAGGACUCGCUAAUUUGUAAUUUGCUGAGCCUGGCUUUGAACUCAUGAUCCUCCUGCUUCAG